Non-coding RNA from Elaeis guineensis (African oil palm), 1305 nucleotides. The record is from RefSeq and is a predicted model, not a curated record. NCBI's taxonomy places the organism in Eukaryota, Viridiplantae, Streptophyta, Magnoliopsida, Arecales, Arecaceae.
UGUUGAUGAGCUGUGAUGGUUCCAAGAGAAGUUACACACAAUAAAAUUGGAAUCCGUGGAAACAGAAUUCAGAGAUGAAGCAGCUAUAGCAGACCAACUGUGACUAGGGGCCUCAAACUGCAAUGUAAAUGAUUGAAGGACCCUCUGAAAUUUUGACCUUGUCAAUGAAGGACUAAACAGUAAUGAAUUUAUAAGUGUAGGGUACAGAGUAUCAUGAAGAUAAGCUUACUAUCAUGGUUGACUGACGAUGAAGUUGUCAAGCUGGCAAAGUCUAACAGCAGUUAUGAGGAGUGCUAAGAACUAAGCAGCAAGAUUCCAUGCAUCGUCAUCCUAUUCACUUUGUCGAGCAUCUAAAUUUUGUGGUCCCUCCAUGCUACUUUUAUGCUGGAGAUUUGUGGUCUUCAUUUAAACCAGGCCAAACAGUCCCUACAUUUGGUGCCUCGAAUAUUAUUUAGGUAUGUGCCCUUAUAUUUUUUGUGGAAAAUACAUGUUUUUUUCUUCCAAAACUAUAUCAACUACGAGAAGUCAAAAUUUUCCUUUGACCUGCUUGUCUCCAAGAAACAAAUAGCAAUAUUUAUUAUUCUUUCAGAUAAGUUUCAUGCAAGGUUUACUAUCUCGGUAUUGGAUCUUGUAUGGGCGCUAUUUUGGUACUGCAUCAGUACGCUUAAUAUGGACAUCCAUUCGGUGUAUUGAGACUCGGUAUGCACCUUGUCUCAGGUCUCCAUUUGGUAGCUGUACAGAAUAGUACCGAGUAAUUCCAUCAACUUGUAUUGUCAAGAUGAUGCUUCUAGUCACAUGGCCGCAUAUGAUCAGACACUCCCAAAGAUGCUUAUGGAAGGUGGCAUUAAAAUGAGGGAAACUUUUUGGCAGAUAAUGCCACAUAAUGCUUUUAGUGCUUCUUUGCAGCGGGUGCUUUACUUUAAAGACAGACCAAAUAUAAGGAUUUGAUUGGGGACAUAAAGCGAAGAUAGGAAGGCAGAUUGGUGGUCGGUGCUGAUGUUAUGGUCUAUGAUACAUAACAAGGUGAAGAUGAUUGAGGAAUGACGGGAGAUCUCUUGGAAGAUUGAUUGAAGAUCUCAGAGGAUGCAAAUUGCAGACAUUAUUCAUGAAGAUGAAUCAAAUUGAUGAUUUUUCAUAAGUUUGCAAGAAGGGCUAUGUCUGUUUCUAUCUCUUGCAAUUUGUAGUGUAAUUUCUUUCAAACAAAAGGAAUUCCUUUCUUAUGACGUAUUUAUUGCAUAUGGACUGAGUCAUGCAUGUAUUUGUUGAAAUUGAAUUAAAUUAUUGGAAAUUGCGUCUUUUGAUUGA